UGUGAUGAUGUCGAUGUUGGACGAGAGUGCAUUAUCAAGGGAGUCUGCAUCUACAUGGGUGAAAAUCCAGAAAACCUUGUGCACGAUUACGCGGGCAUGGAUGGAGACGCCUUCAAUGCUGCUAUUGAAAAAACCUCAGUCGGGAUUUAUAAAAGAGAAUGAGGCAAGUGAGGAAUCUGAGGACAUUGGAGUUGUCCUCGAAGGCAUCAGGUUGUUAAGAGAUUUAGACAAUAUAUCAUUAGCGGUUGCUAUGCUUUUUGGACUGAUGUACGCACUGAACAUCAGCUACCCCGCCGACCUCCGGUACACCUUUGAGGUAGUACAGAAGAUACUCGCGCUGAAAAACCGUCUCUUCCAAUGAACGGGUCAAACACAGCGCUGCCUCUCGGUAAACCUCAGAUGAUCACUGGCCUUAAUUUGUGUUAUUCAUUUCUGUUCCUUAUUUGGUGUAUAAACAUGUGUUGCUCUAGGUAUUCUAGGUUUCUAUUGAUAGUGAUACGUUUAUUUUUUGUGUGUUGAGCCACUGCUGUGAUAGUAUCCAGUUUGUGUGUUCAGCCACUGCUGUUGAUGGUAUCCAGUUUGUGUGUUCAGCCACUGCUGUUGAUGGUAUACAGUUUGUGUGUUCAGCCAGUGCUGUUGAUGGUAUCCAGUUUGUGUGUUCAGCCAGUGCUGUUGAUGGUUAUCCUGUUUAGUGGAAGAGGCAAUGUGCUUGUUACUAUGUGAAUGGAUCUGCACUCCAUAUUUUGUACGGAAGCAAGUGUAUGUUUGUGAAUUACCAUAAUGUAUAGCUGUUGGCUAAUGACAUGUUGCAACACAAAGGGAGAGCGGUAAAAAAAUGGGCCAGAAAUUCCCAGUAUAUUGCCUUAUGUUCAGUCAGGGCCACUUCUGAUAACUUUGACUGUUCUAGGCAAAUACAUUUUUAUAUUGAGACAGCGAAAACAGUAAAUGUGGUAUUUGACAGUGAAUCCGCUGCUGUUGAUGCAGGGUAUCCAGUUUGAAUCUUACAUCUGUUUACGGCAACUGCACAGAUUUGUCUGUUUUCCUGAAUGUUUUAAAGCUCAAUACAGAAAAUUUGAGUACAAAUGACUGACUUUUUCUCCUGUAUUUUGUAUUUCCACACACUAAAUCAUGAAAUUGAUCUAUAAAAUACAUUUGGAUAGCUUAUUUGAACAAAUCAAGUUAGAUUUAUAUACCUAAAUUGGAUACCAGAGACAUUAUCAAAUUGCCUUAAAAAGUUACAUAAAUAGUGGAUAAUAUAAGCAUUAAGAAAUAAAGUUGGAGUUAUAGUUGAAAAUCUGGUACCCCUAUGAUGCAAUCAUUUUAACAUUACACUGUAAAAAAUAAAAAGUUAAUUCAACUUGAAAUUUCAAGGCAACUGUCUGCACAGAAUUUUUGGGUUUUCAUGUCAACUCAAACAUCACAGUUGUGCCAACUUAAUUCUUACAGUUGUACCAACUAAUUCCUUUAUUUUGAGGCAACUAGAUU
This 1485-nucleotide long non-coding RNA is filed under the name Gadus morhua (Atlantic cod). RNAcentral's name for it is "lncRNA (ENSGMOG00000031943.1)". The record is from RNAcentral. Lineage: Eukaryota; Metazoa; Chordata; Actinopteri; Gadiformes; Gadidae.